Molecule: ribosomal RNA, 460 nt
Filed under: uncultured bacterium
Lineage: Bacteria
Description: partial 16S ribosomal RNA
Rfam family: Bacterial small subunit ribosomal RNA
Source: RNAcentral
CCUACGGGAGGCAGCAGUGAGGAAUAUUGGUCAAUGGACGAGAGUCUGAACCAGCCAAGUAGCGUGAAGGAUGACUGCCCUAUGGGUUGUAAACUUCUUUUAUAAAGGAAUAAAACGAGGCACGUGUGCCUUUUUGCAUGUACUUUAUGAAUAAGGAUCGGCUAACCCCGUGCCAGCAGCCGCGGUAAUACGGAGGAUCCGAGCGUGAUCCGGAUUUAUUGGGUGUAAAGGGAGCGUAGAUGGGUGUUUAAGUCAGUUGUGAAAGUUUGCGGCUCAACCGUAAAAUUGCAAUUGAUACUGGCAGUCGUGAGUACAGUUGAGGUAGGCGGAAUUCGUGGUGUAGCGGUGAAAUGCUUAGAUAUCACGAAGAACCCCGAUUGCGAAGGCAGCUUACUAAACUGUGACUGACAUUGAUGCUCGAAAGUGUGGGUAUCAAACAGGAUUAGAUACCCGGGUAGUC